This 444-nucleotide ribosomal RNA is filed under the name uncultured bacterium. RNAcentral's name for it is "bacterial SSU rRNA". It matches the Rfam family "Bacterial small subunit ribosomal RNA", at positions 420 to 882 of the family's 1533-position model. The record is from RNAcentral.
GGUAUGUAAAGCUCUAUCAGCAGGGAAGAAAAUGACGGUACCUGACUAAGAAGCCCCGGCUAACUACGUGCCAGCAGCCGCGGUAAUACGUAGGGGGCAAGCGUUAUCCGGAUUUACUGGGUGUAAAGGGAGCGUAGACGGAGCAGCAAGUCUGAUGUGAAAACCCGGGGCUCAACCCCGGGACUGCAUUGGAAACUGUUGAUCUGGAGUGCCGGAGAGGUAAGCGGAAUUCCUAGUGUAGCGGUGAAAUGCGUAGAUAUUAGGAGGAACACCAGUGGCGAAGGCGGCUUACUGGACGGUAACUGACGUUGAGGCUCGAAAGCGUGGGGAGCAAACAGGAUUAGAUACCCUGGUAGUCCACGCCGUAAACGAUGACUACUAGGUGUCGGUGGCAAAGCCAUUCGGUGCCGCAGCAAACGCAAUAAGUAGUCCACCUGGGGAGUA